CUACUACUCCCUCCGUCCGAAAAUACUUGUCAGAGAAAUGGAUAAAAAUGGAUGUAUCUAGAACUAGAAUGUGUCUAGAUACAUUCAUUUCUCCGACAAGUAUUUCCGGACGGAGGGAGUAGAUA
Molecule: non-coding RNA, 125 nt
Organism: Triticum aestivum (bread wheat)
Lineage: Eukaryota; Viridiplantae; Streptophyta; Magnoliopsida; Poales; Poaceae
Source: Rfam